CCCUUAGAUGUUCUGGGCCGCACGCGCGCUACACUGAUGCAUUCAACGAGCCUAUCCUUGACCGACAGGUCCGGGUAAUCUUUGAAUCUGCAUCGUGACGGGGAUAGAUUAUUGCAAUUAUUAAUCUUCAACGAGGAAUGCCUAGUAGGCGCAAGUCAUCAGCUUGCGUCGAUUACGUCCCUGCCCUUUGUACACACCGCCCGUCGCUCCUACCGAUUGGGUGUGCUGGUGAAAUGUUCGGAUCGGCCGUUUGUCGCGGUUUCCGCGUCAUGUGGCUGAGAAGUUCAUUAAACCUUCCCACCUAGAGGAAGGAGAAGUCGUAACA
RNAcentral lists this ribosomal RNA (325 nucleotides) under uncultured eukaryote. Its description in RNAcentral is "partial 18S ribosomal RNA". It matches the Rfam family "Eukaryotic small subunit ribosomal RNA", at positions 1470 to 1796 of the family's 1831-position model. The record is from RNAcentral.